AUUGAACGCUGGCGGCAUGCCUAACACAUGCAAGUCGAACGGCAGCACAGAUAUAGUUUACUAUAUUGGGUGGCGAGUGGCGGACGGGUGAGUAACGCGUGGGUAUAUAACCCUAAAGACGGGGACAACUUGCGGAAACGCGAGCUAAUACCGCAUACGCCCUACGGGGGAAAGCCGGGGAUCUUCGGACCUGGCGCUAGUAGAUGAGCCCGCGUGAGAUUAGCUUGUUGGUGGGGUAAUGGCCUACCAAGGCAACGAUCUCUAGCUGGUCUGAGAGGACGAUCAGCCACACUGGGACUGAGACACGGCCCAGACUCCUACGGGAGGCAGCAGUGGGGAAUAUUGGACAAUGGGCGAAAGCCUGAUCCAGCAAUGCCGCGUGUGUGAAGAAGGCCUGAGGGUUGUAAAGCACUUUCAAUCGUGAAGAAAAGUUGCAGGCUAAUACCCUGUGACCUUGACGUUAACGAUACAAGAAGCACCGGCUAACUCCGUG
Molecule: ribosomal RNA, 493 nt
Filed under: uncultured bacterium
Lineage: Bacteria
Description: bacterial SSU rRNA
Rfam family: Bacterial small subunit ribosomal RNA
Source: RNAcentral